Molecule: long non-coding RNA, 4403 nt
Filed under: Homo sapiens (human)
Lineage: Eukaryota; Metazoa; Chordata; Mammalia; Primates; Hominidae
Description: HSALNT0142645
Rfam family: 7SK RNA (bases 2066-2381)
Source: RNAcentral
UGAGCCACUGUACCCAGCCUGUAUCUUUGAAUUGAAACUCUGUCUCCUGUAGCAAAAGAGGCUUUAAAAUAGACAAAAAGUUACUAGAUAUAUAAGGUCCCUCUUUAUCUCUAGUACAUUUUUUAAUGUAUCAGGAAAAUAUAAUAAUUAUAAACAUGUAUGUACCUAACAAUAGAACUUCAAAAUACAUGAAGCAAAAAUGGAUGGAAUUGAAAGGACAAUUCAACAGUAGUAGUUGGAGCUAUAAAUAACCCACUUCCAAUAAUGGAUAGAACCACUGGGCAGAAGAUCAGUAGGUAAUAAAAGACUGAACAGCACUAUAACCAUCUAGAGCUAACAGACAUCUUUAUUUAUUUUUAUUUAUUUAGUUUUGAGACAGGGUCUUGCUCUGUCACGGAGGCUGGAGUGCAGUUGUGUGAUCUCGGCUCACUGCAACCUCCGCCUCCCAGGCUCAAGCAAUUUUUCUGCCUCAGCCUCCCAAGCUGGGACUACAGGCACGUGCCACCACGCCCAGCUAAUUUUUGUAGUUUUGGUAGAGAUGGGGUUUCACCAUGUUGCCCAAGGCCAGUCUCAAACUCCUGGGCUCAAGCAAUUUGCCCGUCUUGGCCUCCCAAAGCACCGGCAUUACAGGCAUGAGAACCUGUCUGUGCACCCAGCCACAGACAUCUUUAGAACACUCUACCCAACAAAAGCAGAAUAUGUAUUCUUCUCAAGUGCACUUGGAACAUUCUCCAGGAUAGAUUAUAUGUUAGACCAUAAAACAGCCUCAAUAAAUGUAUAAGGAUUGAAAUUAUACGAAGUAUAUUCUCUAAUACAGUGAAGUGACAUGAAAAUUUAAUAAUAGAAAGAAAUUUGGAAAAUUCGCAAAUAGGUGAAAAUGAAAUAACACCCACCUAAAUAACCAAUUGGUCAAAGAAGAAAGUACAAAUAAAGUUAGAAAUACUGUGAAAUGCCGGGCAUGGUGGCUCAUGCCUCUAAUCCCAGCACUUUGGGAGGCUGAGGCAGGUGGAUGACCUGAGUUCAGGAGUUCAAGACAAGCCUGGCCAACAUAGCGAAACCCCAUCUCUACUAAAAAUACAAAAAUUAGCCGGGAGCAGUGGUGCGCACCUGAAAUCCCAGCUACUUGGGAGGUUGAGGCAGGAGAAUCACUUGAACCUGGGAGGUGGAGGUUGCAGUGAGCUGAGAUAGCACCACUACACUCCAGCCUGGGCAACAGAGCGAGACGCCGUCUCAAAAAAAAAAAAAAAAAUUAAAUACUGUGAAGUGAAUGAAACUGAAGGCUCACAUACCAAAACUUAUGGGAUAGAGCUAAACAUUGCCUAGAUGAAAAUUUAUAUCUGUAAGUGUCCACCUCAAAAGAAGAAAGAUCUCAAUAACCUUCCAACUUAAGACAUUGGAGAAAAAAGAAAAACUAAACCUAAGUCAAGCGUAAGUAAGGCAAGAAUAAAGAUUAUAAAGAUUAGAGUAGAAAUUAAUGAAAUGGGAAAUAGAAAAACAAUAGAGAAAAUCAACAAAAUCAAAAGUUGGUUCUUUGAAAAGUUCAACAAAAUUUUCAAACCUUUAGCUAGAUUGACCAAGGAAUUAAAAAAAUUCAGUUACUAAAAUCAGAAAUAAAAAGAGGAGACAUCUCUACAAAUGUUACAGAAGUAAAAAGGAUUAAUCGUAAGGAAAGACUAUGAACAAUUGUAUGUCAACGAAUUAGCCUAAAAGAAAUGGAAGAUUCCUAAAAGACACAAACUAUCAAAACUUCUUUUUUUUUUUCAGGUGGAGUCUUGCUAUGUUGCUCAGGCUGGUCUCUAACUCCUCAACUCAAGCAAUCCUCCCACCUCACUCUUCUGAGUAGCUGGGAUUACAGAUGUGAACCACCACUGUCUCAAAACUAUUAAACUGACCCAAAAGAAAUGGAAAUCUGAAUAGACUAUAACAUGAGAUUGAAUUAGCAACCAAAACACUACACACACACACACACACACACACACACACACAAACACACAUGCCCAGUCCCAGAUGACUUUACAGGUGAUAUCUAGCAAUCAUUUUUUAAAGAGUAAUGAAAACCAUUCCUGGAUGUGAGAGUGAUCUAGCUGCAACAUCUGUUACCCCAUUAAUCGCCAGGGUUGAUUCGGCUGAUCUAGCUGGCUAAGCGGGUAUCCCCUUCCUCCCUCACUGCUCCAUGUGCAUCCCUCCCAAAUACUGCACGCUCGAUGGAAGAGGACGACCAUCCCCAAUAGAGGAGGACUGAUCUUCCGUCAAGGGUAUAGGAGUAGCUGCGCUUCCCUGCUGGAACCCCCAAACAAGCUCUUAAAGAGGAAUGAAGACCAAUCUUCAAAAACUCUUCCAAAAAAAUACAAGAAGAGGGAACACUUCACAACUUAUUCUUUGAGGCCAGUAUUUCCCUAACACAAAGAAACACACAAAGACUUCACAGAACCAUCCGCCAAUAUCUCCUAUAAAUAGAAAUGCAAAAAUCCUCAACAAAAUACUUGUAAACUGAAUCUGGCAAUGUAUAAAAUGUAUUCUACAUCAAGACCAAGUAGGAUGCAAGGUUUGUUUAACAUCUCAAGACUAAUCAAUGUAAUAUACCACAUCAACGGAAGAACAAAAAACACACGGUCAUUUCAAUAGAUGUAAAAUAUUUAAGAACAUUCAGCACUUUUUCCUAAUAAAAACACCUAGGAAACCAGAAAUCCAUGGGAACUAGUUGAUCCGAUAAAGAAUAUUUAUGAAAAAUCAAUAGCUUGCAUCGUACUUAAUGGUUAAAAAGUAAAAGCACUUCCUCCUAAGAUUCAGAAAAAGAAAAAGUGUCCACUCUAUUUCUGCUCAGCAUUUUGGUGGAGGCUGUAGCCAAGACCAUUAGGCAAGAAAAUAAAAUAAAAGACGUUCAAAUUGGAAAGAAAGAAGUAAAACUGUCUCCAUUUGCAGAUGACAUGAUCUUGUAUAUAUAUAGGAAAUUAAAAGGAAUUCACUAAAUAUUAUUGAAAUUACUAAACGACAUUGUAGGCUAUAAGAUCAUAUACAAAACUCAAUUGUAUAUGCUUGCAAUGAACAAUCUGAAUAUAUAUUUCAAAUUCCAUGUAUUUAUUUAUGAGACAGAGUCUCACUCUAUUACUAAGGCUGGAGUGCAGUGGCGCGGUCUCAGCUCACUGCAACCUCUGCCUUCCAGGUUCAAGCGAUUCUCAUGCCUCAGCCUCACGAGUAGCAGGGAUUACAGGCGCCCACCACAGUGCCUGGCUAAUUUUUGUAUUUUUAGUAGAGACGGGGUUUCACCUUGUCAGCCAGGCUGGUCGCUAACUCCUGACCUCACGUGUUCCACCCACCUCAGCCUCCCAAAGUGCUGAGAUUACUGGCGUCAGCCACUGCACCUGGCCAAAAUCUAUUUAUAAUAUCACUAAAAAUGUAUUAAUUUAACAAAAUAAGUGUGAAACACAUUCUGAAAACUACAAAAUAUUGUUGAAGAGUGUUGAAAGGUUAAUAUUGUUAAUAAUAUCUUCUGAAUCGAUCUAUAGAUUCAAUAGACUCUCUAUCAGAAUUCUAGCUGAAUUCUUUGCAGAAAUUGACAAGCUGAUCCAAAAAUUCACAUGGAAAUGCCAGGGGCCCAGAAUAUAUACUUUUUCCAAUAUAAAGAAGAACAAAGUUGAAGGACUCUGAUUUCAAAGCAUACUACAAAAAUAUAAUAAGGCAAUGUGGUAGUAUUAUAAGUAUAGAUAUAUAGUUCAAUGGUAGCAAAUCAAGAGUCCAGAAAUAAACCCUCAUAUUUACAGGCAAUUGAAUUUCAACAAGGGUGGUGAGUAUAGUCUUUUCAACAAAUGAGCUGGGAUAAUUGGAUAGCCACAUGCAAAGUAAUGAAGUUUGACCUCUACCGCUCACCAUAUACAAAACUUAAAUUGGAUCAAAGACUUUAAUGUAUGAGCUGUAACUAUAAAACCCAUAGAAGAGUAAUGUAAGAUUAAAUCUUCAUGACCUUGGAUUUGACAAUAAUAUCACAACAAAAUCACAAGAAGCCAAAAAAAAAAAAAAGGUGAACUGGAUUUGAUCAAAAUUUAAAACUUUUAUGCUUCAAAAGACAUUUCAAGGAAAUGAAAAAGCAACCUACAGAAUGGGAGAAAAUUUUUGCAAACGGGAUAUAUCGAAAAUAUGUAAAGAACUCUUACAACUACAUAAUAAGAAGACAUAACCUAGUUAUAAAGUGGGCAAAGGAUAUGAACAGGCAUUUUGACAAAGGAAAUAUGCAAAUGGCCAAUAAGCACAUGAAAAGAUGCUCAACAUCAUUAACCAUCAGGAAACACAAACCACAGUCAUAAUGAGAUAGCCCUUCACACCCACUAGGAUGACUAAAAUUAAAAAGACAGACAAUAAUGAGUGUGGACAAGGAUGUGGAGAAAUUGGAACCCUCAUACACUACU